This 375-nucleotide ribosomal RNA is filed under the name uncultured bacterium. Its description in RNAcentral is "bacterial SSU rRNA". It matches the Rfam family "Bacterial small subunit ribosomal RNA", at positions 133 to 507 of the family's 1533-position model. The record is from RNAcentral.
AAGGUAAGGAAUAACGUCGAGGAUCGGCGACUAAUACCUCAUAAUGCAGCGGAUCCGCAUGGAUAUGUUGUUAAAGGUUUACCGCCUUGGGAUAGGCUUGCGUCUGAUUAGCUAGUUGGUGUGGUAAUGGCACACCAAGGCUACGAUCAGUAACUGGUCUGAGAGGAUGAUCAGUCACACUGGAACUGAGACACGGUCCAGACUCCUACGGGAGGCAGCAGUGAGGAAUAUUGGGCAAUGCACGGAAGUGUGACCCAGCAACGCCGCGUGGAGGAUGAAGGUAUUCUAUAUCGUAAACUCCUGUGAGAGCAGACGAAAGACAGAUUAUUAAUUUGGAUGACUGUAUGCUCAGAGGAAGCCCCGGCUAACUACGUG